UCUCCUUGGCCUGUCUGCAGCAUUCAUUCCUUCUGGGUACGGAACAGGACCCUCUGGAAUGGGGGCUGUGGCCUACAACAGUUAAACAAGUGAACUAAAGGGCUCCCAAGAUCUCUCCUGCAGCAUUUUCCUUGAGAAGGAGGAAGGUUUGCAUCUCUGUAAG
This is a long non-coding RNA of Pan troglodytes (chimpanzee), 163 nucleotides long. RefSeq lists it as uncharacterized. NCBI's taxonomy places the organism in Eukaryota, Metazoa, Chordata, Mammalia, Primates, Hominidae. The record is from RefSeq and is a predicted model, not a curated record. The transcript is spliced from 2 exons.